This 400-nucleotide ribosomal RNA is filed under the name uncultured bacterium. Its description in RNAcentral is "bacterial SSU rRNA". It matches the Rfam family "Bacterial small subunit ribosomal RNA", at positions 975 to 1375 of the family's 1533-position model. The record is from RNAcentral.
CAGGACUUGACAUCCCUCUGACCGGCGUGUAACGGCGCCCUCCCUUCGGGGCAGAGGAGACAGGUGGUGCAUGGUUGUCGUCAGCUCGUGUCGUGAGAUGUUGGGUUAAGUCCCGCAACGAGCGCAACCCUUGUCAUUAGUUGCCAGCAGGUUAAGCUGGGCACUCUAGUGAGACUGCCGGGGACAACUCGGAGGAAGGUGGGGAUGACGUCAAAUCAUCAUGCCCCUUAUGUUCUGGGCUACACACGUGCUACAAUGGCCGGUACAGAGAGACGCAAUGUCGUGAGGCGGAGCAAAACUCUAAAACCGGUCCCAGUUCGGAUUGCAGGCUGAAACUCGCCUGCAUGAAGUCGGAGUUGCUAGUAAUCGCGAAUCAGAAUGUCGCGGUGAAUGCGUUCCC